Long non-coding RNA from Gallus gallus (chicken), 3188 nucleotides. RefSeq lists it as uncharacterized. The record is from RefSeq and is a predicted model, not a curated record. The transcript has 14 exons. NCBI's taxonomy places the organism in Eukaryota, Metazoa, Chordata, Aves, Galliformes, Phasianidae.
AUCUUAGCAGUUUGCAGAUGAUGUCUCUCUUGACUUCAGAGAUGUUGCUCACCUUUCACAGCCGAAGAUAAAGCCUCAUAAUGCAGCAGAGCCAGAGCCUGAGCACAGAACGCUGAACAGAGAUCUAAAUGUUGACCUCAAUAGUACAUGCCUGAAGUUGAGUGCUUCCUGAAUCCUGUUACUGUCUGGUUUGUUCCUGUAGCUCUUGUGGAGCAUAUUGUGACAACCUGAAUAUUUUUCCAUCUUUAUCAAGCUGCUUGUGGAAAGGGUGCAUUGAAGGAGCUCUGACGACAGUCUCUGAUUUGUGCUCAGCAGUUACUAACUGUUGUUAUUGCCACCCCCAAAUACUACUUUGCUGCUAACUCCUCUGAUCUCCUCUGGAUGUUAGAAACUAAAUGCUGAAGCAUUUAGUGUUUGAAUAGUAUCUGUAGUGAUGGAACUGAUCCUGUUGGGUACUAAAGGCCACCAGCUUUUGCUGGCCUCUAUGAGAUUUAGGGUCUCAGACUUUGUUAGCCUUGGGCCCUUAGAAAAAAUUUCUUUUUCUUUCCAUUACAUUGUGAUAGGGAUGUAGAUUUCCUUAGGGACUUUCUUUGUUGGGUUUUGUUGGGCAGUUUGGUUUUUUUUUACUAUUUCUUUGUGGGGUUUUUUUUGUCCCUUCUCUUUCCAUUGAACUGGGUUGAGAACAUAUUGAGACUUCCUUCAUCACAAGGACUGUUCCCUCAUUCCCUGCCCUGUGGUCAAAUGUAAUGUCACAUUGGCCAACUGAUUGUAAGAAUGUCCUUUACUAAAAGCAAGUCAGCAAGCAUGAUAUGUCCUACAGCAUCCUGUAAUUUAGAAGGUGUGUAAAUGACAACAUAUAGAUUUGUUAAGUAGAAAGUUGAUAGCAGAGUCAAGAAGAAAACAGUCACACCCAAUAGGAUAUGUGUGUGUGAUUAGUGUGGUCAAUAUGUAUAUACCACUGAAAGAAAAUACACCUGUGCAUACUAUUGCCAAGCUCCUAACAGUGUUCCUUAUUCCUCAACUUUUCUACAUGCACAGCGUUGUUCUUCUUUCCUAGAUGUUAAUCUCACUGAAGCAAAGACCAAAUUAUCAACAGAAAAUCUCAGUGUAUGGAAGACUUGAUUGAGUGGGACAGGUGUCCACUGGUUGAUACCUGGAGGAAAGAGAGUUCUUCUUUUAGUGUGCAGUAAGUGCUGCUGCCUUAUUCACACAUGGGGGAAGGCAUCUCACAAGUGACCUUACAAAUGAGAAGAAAUUUCUAAGCAACACUGAAGUUUUAUCGAGGAAGCUUCUACCAAAAUAGACUGUGGUUUGCACGCUGCUUGUGAACAUUUACUGAAAGUUUGUAUUGCAGCAGGUGGCAAAAUACAACAUGUGAUAUUGUUCCUGUCUUCUGUCAGAAUGGAUUAUGAGUAACCAGAAAAUUUAGGCAUUUGGAUUUGAAAAGAAGUUAUCUGCUGAAAUUCAAAGACAAAUUUCCAUAUGUUACAAAAUUGAAAUCAAAAUUCCAUAAGGCACUCGCUCCAUCCCUCCAGCCAUCAUCCCAAAAGCAAAGGGGUUCAGUUUGUUCAGGUGGAGCUCGCUUUCUCCACCCCCAGUGCCAGCAAAUCUGUUUGGUGUGGGAGGACGGUGGAGCAUGCCGCCCACAGCCACCUGCUCUGCCGGAGGGCCCGCAGCCUUGCCAGCACUGUGCCAAGGCACCAGCUCGGGGUGGGAGUCUGCAGGAGGCACGGAUCAGCUGGGAGGUGUGCUGCUCUGCUUCUCCCUUGCUUGCGGGUGACCUUUGCUGAUAAAGAUUAGCCAGAGGCUUUUGGAACAUCACAUAGCACUGGAUACUGGGACUGAUGAUGAAGUCAUCCUGAGGGGAGCCUGAGGAACUAACUGCUGCUUUGUAAGCUUUUCUGCAGUGUGUCCCUGGUGUCUGAGGAAUCCUGGGGUGCAAGAAAAGAGAUAUAUUUGGAUUUUAAAAAAUGACUCCACGGUGUCUCCCCAUUUCCUAGUUGAGCAUACAUUAGUGGAUCACAAACCAUUCCCAUGAAGUGACAUGUCACCUUGAGCUGUUUGAAGAGGUCUGGAAGCAUCAUCUGACACUCUCAUCCCCAAGACCUGCUGAAGUUCCUCCAACCUCUCCCAUACAACGUAAAUCAGGCACGUUUACGUCACUCAGUCUGCAUUGCAGAGUCCUCUGCACUCCAUCUCAGAGAUGCUGAUAACCUGCUCACUUAUCCAAGCUCACUUAGUGGGUACAUGUGAUGUCUCCUCAACUGUUGGGGGUGUCUCAGUGCUACAUCAAAGAAGCAAUACAUGACUUGAGCUCUGUAAGACUGUUAUGUUUUCUCCAGGCUUUCAAACCAGACUGUUGCUGCUAGCCCUACCAAAAGAACUGCUGCCCGGCCAAGAAGAGCUGGAGCUCUGCUAAUGCAACUGUACUUAAGAAGGAGCCCUCACGCCUAGGAGGAUGGAUGCUCUCCUGGAAAAAGAUAAGAUGCUGGCUUUCCUUACAUGUGUAUCACUUGGCUGCAUUCAGUGUGAAGGAGCUUUGUGAGGAAAGAUGCUGUGUGGAAACAAAGAGAACAUGGUCAGGAGGAUGAAAGGUCAUGAUCAGACAAUCCUGGAAUUUAGAGCUGCCACCUCUGGUGUAUCUUUGCAUUCAGCGAUCCUCUUCGCACUCUUGGUUUGAGCUGGUGGAGGGGCCUGAACCUGCCUUCAGAGUCAGUCUCCAGUAUUUCCCAUCGUGAGCACUGCAGGUUUGGACUAUUAGGACGCAGGAACGCUUGGACUGAAGCUCAAACUAUGAAAUGCUGAUGCAAGAAGGAGCAGCAUGGUUCCCUGCCCACAGCACAGACCUUCCCUGCACCGGGAGCUGAGCACACCAGGAUGGGGUGAUGAGGUGACCACAGCAGGACAAUCUGCCCGACUCCUCUCAGGAAGAGAAAGCUUGCAGGGGAAUGUCUGCAGGUUUUCUGCUUCUAACGCUUCUCUCACCUGGAAGUGGUCCUGUGUCAUGACUAUGGAAGGCAAAAUCUUCCCCCUGUCUUGCAGUCCCUGUUUUCCCUGCUGCUACUGGAGCCACAGAGAAAGAAGGACGAAAGGAAGAUAGUUUCAAUGCCCCAUUGAAGAUGAGAGCUUGUUGGCAUUGCAUGAGUGCAUGAAAUAGUUUAACAGCAAACUUGGAUACAAGCCAGCUU